GAUGAACGCUAGCUACAGGCUUAACACAUGCAAGUCGAGGGGAAACGACAUCGAAAGCUUGCUUUUGAUGGGCGUCGACCGGCGCACGGGUGAGUAACGCGUAUCCAACCUGCCCACCACUUGGGGAUAACCUUGCGAAAGUAAGACUAAUACCCAAUGACGUCUCUAGAAGACAUCUGAAAGAGAUUAAAGAUUUAUAGGUGAUGGAUGGGGAUGCGUCUGAUUAGCUUGUUGGCGGGGUAACGGCCCACCAAGGCGACGAUCAGUAGGGGUUCUGAGAGGAAGGUCCCCCACAUUGGAACUGAGACACGGUCCAAACUCCUACGGGAGGCAGCAGUGAGGUAUAUUGGUCAAUGGGCGAGAGCCUGAACCAGCCAAGUAGCGUGCAGGAUGACGGCCCUAUGGGUUGUAAACUGCUUUUAUAAGGGAAUAAAGUGAGUCUCGUGAGACUUUUUGCAUGUACCUUAUGAAUAAGGACCGGCCAAUUCCGUGCCAGCCGCCGCCGUAA
Molecule: ribosomal RNA, 508 nt
Filed under: uncultured bacterium
Lineage: Bacteria
Description: partial 16S ribosomal RNA
Rfam family: Bacterial small subunit ribosomal RNA
Source: RNAcentral